UCAUGAGCCGGUAACCGCUUAUCCAGCCGUUGGAUCCAGUUCCGCGCCUUACGCUGGACACGCCGGAGCUUACCCACCUCCGCCAGCGGGAUACGGCUACCCACCGCCACAACAAUACGGUGGGUAUCCUCCGCAACAACCGCCUCCUGGAUACGGGUACCCACCACCUCAUCCGGGUUAUGGGUACCCGCCACAACCCGGGUAUGGAUAUCCACCGGUGCAGCAGCCACCAAAGAAGAACAGUAAAUUCGGGAUGGGAUUGGGAGCUGGGCUACUAGGAGGGGCUCUGGGUGGACUUCUGAUUGGAGAUAUGGUUUCCGACGCGGCGUCGUACGAUGCCGGU
RNAcentral lists this long non-coding RNA (343 nucleotides) under Carica papaya (papaya). RNAcentral describes it as "long non-coding RNA (CPAP_LNC011446)". The record is from RNAcentral. Lineage: Eukaryota; Viridiplantae; Streptophyta; Magnoliopsida; Brassicales; Caricaceae.